GAAACAGAAACAGCACAUUUUUUUGUGUGAAGCAGUGCUUUGUUGUAGAGAAAGAAGCAGGGGAGCUACUCAACUGCAGAAGUCCCCAGGAGGCCAUCGGAAGUGAGUACACAGGGAGGCGGGGUGGGGCCUGCUGUGAUCCCAGCACUUAAAAAGGCAGAGGCAGGAAGAUCUGCCUGGCUGAGGGCAACAGCAGACCUGUGGCCUCUUGUGCCGUUUCCCACCGUCAAGCCCCUGAGUGACAUGACCAGAGAGAGGAGUGUGGGUAAUGAGUGACUGGAUCAGUGUCGAAGGGAACAGUUUCCGCAUCUUUACUUAUGGAAGGGUCUUAAACAAGCUCACUGUGUAGCGGUUUGCACAGCCAGAUUUAAUUACUACUGCCUGUCUCCUCACAAGAACACCUAAAAAUGCAAGCCCAGGGUGUUUAAAAUAAACUUGCAUAUUCUGUUACAGUUUAAGAAAACUAUUGCAAAGAAAUUUAAGAAGUAUUUACUUUAUGAAUAACCCACAGCUACUUGACCAUAUAAAAUUAGUAGCUGAAAAGGGGGAAAUUAUUCAGACCAAAGCCCCAACUUCUUCAGAUAGUUGGGGUUUCAGUGUUUGUGAUUGUAAAGGUGUGAAAGCUGAUUCUUCCCUGUUAACAUAAUAGAUGCCUGUGCAGAACCCAACUGAGGACAGGAAAAAAAUGUUUUUGGACAGUUUGCAAAAACUCCUUUAAAAAAAAAGUUCAUGUUUUAUUUUGAGACGGGAUCUCACUAUGUAGCUCUGGUUGGCCUGGAACUCACUAUGUAGACAGCUCUGCCACCCCAGGGGUGCAGGGAGUAAAGGUAUUUGCCAUCCUGUUUGUCUAUAAAGGCCACAUUGCUCGUUUGUUUGUUUGUUUGUUUGUUUGUUUUAGUUUUUUGAGACAUGGUUUCUUGUAUAGCACUGGUUGUCCUGGAACUCACUAUAAACCAGGCUGGUCCCAGAUCUGCCUGCUCUGCCUCUCAGGAAGGGUUUUUUAGAGGAAUUCUAUGGAGGGAAGGAGACGGGAAAUGGAACUAGGAAUGGGGUUUAGAGACAAUAUCAUGUUUUUUCUCAUGUAGAGUCUGCAUUUAAUAGUAAAGAUAGGUGAGUCACAGGGCUGGAGAGAUGGCUCAGUGAGUAAGAACACUUGUUGCUCUUGCAAAAGACCUGAGUUUGAGUCCAUGCGCUCAUUUGGUGGCUCACAACCAUCUGUAACUCUGUUCCAGGGGAUUUAACAAGCACACAUGUAUGUAGUGCACAUAGACACAUGCAAGCAAAGCAUUCAUACAUGUAAAAUAAAAUCUAAAAACAU
Molecule: long non-coding RNA, 1318 nt
Filed under: Mus musculus (house mouse)
Lineage: Eukaryota; Metazoa; Chordata; Mammalia; Rodentia; Muridae
Description: long non-coding RNA chr8:106974832-106976150
Source: RNAcentral